This is a long non-coding RNA of Carya illinoinensis, 2053 nucleotides long. RefSeq lists it as uncharacterized. The transcript is spliced from 2 exons. Lineage: Eukaryota; Viridiplantae; Streptophyta; Magnoliopsida; Fagales; Juglandaceae. The record is from RefSeq and is a predicted model, not a curated record.
CAAAUAGUCUAAUACAAAAUUCAAAAAGAGUGCGCAUAUAUAUCACCAAGCCCUAAAAAAAAAAACUUAAUUAAAACGACAGCACCUCCUCACCCUCUUCUCCCUUCCCCAAUCUAGAUUCUUCUCUCUGCACCUAAGAGCCACCGUCAACGGCAACGAAACGUGAGAUAGGCCAUUGUCGCCGUCUCUCUCUCUCUCUUUCCUAGAAGUCCCCCUUUGGAAGUUUUUUUUUUUUUUUUUUUUUUUGCAUCCAUGAUUUAGUCCUUUUGCAUCAAUUUAUUCUUGACACAAAAUCUUAUUUGCGACCACUCAAUACUUAUUUACUAAGAACUAAAGCGAACGAAAUUCAAAAGCAGCACACAUAUACACCCCCAAGUUCUAAAGCAAAAUUUAUUCAAACUACAGCGUCGCUCCACCCUCUCCUCCCCAACCCAUGCUUUUCUCUCUGCAUCCCCCAAGAGCCACCAUCAACAGUGACCAAAUGAGACGGGCCACUGUCGCCAACUAGCUCUCUCUCUUCUCUCUCUCUUUUUCUCCAUCCCUCUCUCUCCCAGAAGUCCACCUCACUUCUGCCAUCAUUCAACAAUUCGAGUUAUUGGUCAAAUUUCAGGCCAACUCCUUCUUCAUACGUUGUAAUGACAGUGACUAAUACAUAUGGGCGUGUGAGGAAGCUCAUUGGUUUCAAUCUUUUUGGUUCCUUCUCUAGUAUUCAAGGAUUUGAAAGACAUGAAGGCCAAAGAAGACAACAUAUGAAGGCUAUAAUACGAAUGUUUCAUGUAUUUUUCAUGUAUUCGGCCAGUUUAAUACAUUUUUUAUUUUAAUUCUUAAGGGGGCAUUUUUGGUAUGAGGAAUGUUGGUCUUAGUCUCGCAUUGCUAAGAUCUCUCAAUAUUUUUGUUUGUUUGCCAUUGCAUUUUAUGCCUGGGAAAAUUUCAUAAAGGUAAACAAGGCAAUGUGUUUUUAUGUGUGAAAAAUAUAUAAUUUGCUUGGUUCUUUGUUGGCGUAGUCCAGAAAUAAUGGCAUUUGAUUAUACCAUAUGUUCUAUGCUCUGCAAAGUAGCGCAUUGAAAAGCAGUUCUUCUUUUCUUUGCUUCCCUUUUUCUUUUUUGUUUUUAGAUUUGGAUGCAUAGAAAGCAAGAUGAAGCAGCAAUGGAUGCUACCUGCUGGUCAGUGUACUGGGGACAAAAAAGGCAAAUAAUGAUUUCAGUUUCAUUGCUAAUAUGGUUAGUGUACUGAUUUGAUACGUUUCAGAUAAUCAAGAACAAAGCAUGAUUUGGCUUUCUUUUUCUGAUAGGUUUGUGGGAAACCUGCUUAAAGGACAAACUGUUGGAGUGAUUGGAGAUGGUCACAUUGGAUCUACUUAUGCCAGAAUGAUGCCAAAUUCUUAUUAUUUGAACUUCAAAUUGAAAUUUCUUGAAACUUGAAUAUCUAAUUUGACGAAUUUAAGUUGAGUUAAAAAUGAAUGAGUUUAUGCCCUUUUCCUCAAAAGUAGUCCCUUGUGUAUGGGUUUAUGCAGAGGAGAAACUUAUCUUUGCAGAAGUAUAACUUUGAGGAGAAAAUUUAGAAAACAAAAUCACUUAUUCAUGGAUUAUAUGUAAAUGAGAUUUUUUGUUAGUUUAGUCUUUUUCCAUGUAUACAUAUUUAUGCUAUCAAGUGUUUUGUGCUUCUUGAGUUUAGAUGAACAUUUCACGUAUAUGCUUUUUGCUUUUCCCCUUUCAUUUACUCUGAUAUCUCUAGAAUUUUUAUUUUAUAAUGAUUUGAGAGUGACAUUGAAUAUUUUUGCAGGAACCUGAUACAAAGAUUUCUGCUAGUAUGUUGUACUUGAUAAUACAUGUUUACAGGUUUUGUAUUUUGAUGUGCCUUGAGAAGUUUAAAGUUGCACAUUUAGAAUAUAAUGUAAUUGCUUUAUGGAUUAUAGUCUAAUGUAUAUAAUUUUUUUUUUUCUUUUGGAUUGUAAUAUUGCUUCGAAUAUAAAGCAAGUAGUUUGUGUAAUUGAGACAUGAAUUGUAAUAUAAUGUAAGAUGUGUACUGUUUUUUAUGAAAUUUUUUUCAAUAC